AAUGUUUAAAGGGCCGCGGUAUUUUGACCGUGCGAAGGUAGCAUAAUCAUUAGUUUUUUAAUUGAAGGCUGGUAUGAAUGGUCGGACAAGAAAUAAGCUGUCUUUAUAGAAAUUAUUGAAUUUAACAUUUAAGUAAAAAGGCUUAAAUAAAUUAAGGGGACGAUAAGACCCUAUAAAGCAUUGUGUUGGGGCGACAAAAGUAAAUUAGUAUCUGCUUUAUUUUUUUAACAAUGAUUUUUGAAUUGAUCCUAAUUAUAGAUUAUAAGUUUAAGUUACUUUAGGGAUAACAGCGUAAUUUUUCCUGAGAGCUCAUAUCGAAGGAGAAGUUUGCGACCUCGAUGUUGAAUUAAAUUAUCUCUCUUAUGUGCAGCGAGCUAAGAUAGAUGGUCUGUUCGACCUUUAAAGAUUU
RNAcentral lists this ribosomal RNA (409 nucleotides) under Austinogebia edulis. RNAcentral's name for it is "partial 16S large subunit ribosomal RNA". It matches the Rfam family "Archaeal large subunit ribosomal RNA", at positions 1995 to 2666 of the family's 2987-position model. The record is from RNAcentral. Lineage: Eukaryota; Metazoa; Arthropoda; Malacostraca; Decapoda; Upogebiidae.